GCGGGGGUUGCCGAGCUGGUCAAGUUAGGGAAAAGGGGUCAGACCAGAGGCGCCGGACUUAAGAUCCGGUCCCGUAGGGGUUCGUGGGUUCAAAUCCCACCCCCCGCACCA
Molecule: transfer RNA, 111 nt
Filed under: Candidatus Freyarchaeota archaeon
Lineage: Archaea; Promethearchaeati; Candidatus Freyarchaeota
Description: tRNA-Leu
Rfam family: tRNA
About the family: Transfer RNA (tRNA) molecules are approximately 80 nucleotides in length. Their secondary structure includes four short double-helical elements and three loops (D, anti-codon, and T loops).
Source: RNAcentral